This 433-nucleotide ribosomal RNA is filed under the name uncultured bacterium. RNAcentral's name for it is "partial 16S ribosomal RNA". It matches the Rfam family "Bacterial small subunit ribosomal RNA", at positions 29 to 507 of the family's 1533-position model. The record is from RNAcentral.
AGCGAACGCUGGCGGCAGGCUUAACACAUGCAAGUCGAGCGGGCACUUCGGUGUCAGCGGCAGACGGGUGAGUAACACGUGGGAACGUACCCUUUGGUUCGGAAUAACGCUGGGAAACUAGCGCUAAUACCGGAUACGCCCUUUUGGGGAAAGGCUUGCUGCCGAAGGAUCGGCCCGCGUCUGAUUAGCUAGUUGGUGGGGUAAUGGCCUACCAAGGCGACGAUCAGUAGCUGGUCUGAGAGGAUGAUCAGCCACACUGGGACUGAGACACGGCCCAGACUCCUACGGGAGGCAGCAGUGGGGAAUAUUGGACAAUGGGCGAAAGCCUGAUCCAGCCAUGCCGCGUGAGUGAUGAAGGCCUUAGGGUUGUAAAGCUCUUUUGUCCGGGACGAUAAUGACGGUACCGGAAGAAUAAGCCCCGGCUAACUUCGUG